CCUACGGGUGGCAGCAGUGGGGAAUAUUGCACAAUGGGGGAAACCCUGAUCCAGCGACGCCGCGUGAGUGAAGAAGUAAUUCGGUAUGUAAAGCUCUAUCAGCAGGGAAGAAAAUGACGGUACCUGAGUAAGAAGCCCCGGCUAACUAGGUGCCAGCAGCCGCGGUAAUACGUAGGGGGCACGCGUUAUCCGGAUUUACUGGGUGUAAGGGGAGCGUAGACGGCAGUGCAAGGAUGGAGUGAAAGGCGGGGGCUCAACCCGCGGACUGCCCUGGAAACUGUACGGCUGGAGUGCAGGAGAGGUAAGUGGAAUGCCUGGUGUAGCGGUGAAAUGCGUAGAUAUUAGGAGGAACACCAGUGGCGAAGGCGGCUUACUGGACUGUAACUGACGUUGAGGCUCGAAAGCGUGGGGAGCAAACAGGAUUAGAUACCCGAGUAGUC
This 440-nucleotide ribosomal RNA is filed under the name uncultured bacterium. RNAcentral describes it as "partial 16S ribosomal RNA". It matches the Rfam family "Bacterial small subunit ribosomal RNA", at positions 338 to 795 of the family's 1533-position model. The record is from RNAcentral.